Non-coding RNA from Schistosoma mansoni, 45 nucleotides. The record is from Rfam. NCBI's taxonomy places the organism in Eukaryota, Metazoa, Platyhelminthes, Trematoda, Strigeidida, Schistosomatidae.
AUCAAGCUGACGAGUCCCAAAUAGGACGAAACGCGCGUCCUGAAU